Molecule: unclassified non-coding RNA, 269 nt
Filed under: Hevea brasiliensis (rubber tree)
Lineage: Eukaryota; Viridiplantae; Streptophyta; Magnoliopsida; Malpighiales; Euphorbiaceae
Source: RNAcentral
GAUUCUCCAUGCAAAUGAAGUUCACAACUUUCCUUUCUCUCUUUCUUUUCCUCUUUUUCCUUCCUUGUCUCCUUUUCUUUUCUUUCUUCUCUCUUCUCCCCUUCCCCUUCUUUUCUUUUUCCGUUUUUUCUUUUCUCUCUGCUGGAGACUAGAAAAAUCCAGCCCAUGUGCUGGAAAUGAGUGAUGGAGAAGCUGCCAAGUGUCAAUAUAUUUACAAUUUGAUUCUUUAACUUUUAAAAAUUAUGAUUUCACCCCAAAACUAGAAAAAU